AGAAUAAUAAACCAAGCUCAUGCAAUAGACAAUCUGCUUCUAUAAUGUGCUAACAUUUCUGUGUUGUGGCACGCAGUAUAUAUUCUAAUCUCAUUACUUAUGUGGAUUUCUUCCAUAGACCUCUCUUACUGUAUUCCCCAAUGUUUAUUGUAAUUUUCUGAAGAAAAAGUCCAUCUGCUACUUCAUUGAAUCAACAGACAUUAAUAGAGUCCUUAUUAAGUGCCAAGCAAGUGCUGUGCCAGACUCUGAAGUUGCAAAGAUUUGAGUGUUUCUGCUAUUUCCUCCAUUACCAUCACUAAAGAAAAUGCUGCUGCUGCCUCUCAUAAAAAUGAGGAUAACGCUGGAUAACAUUUAUUGAGUGCUUACCUCCUCCCAGGCUUCUUCCUUCUCUUUCUAUUGCCGGGACACCAAGACAUGAGCAGCUGUUUGCAACCAGUAACGUCCACCAUGCCCUUCUUUCCUUGGAGCCAGUCAACUAUGA
Heterocephalus glaber (naked mole-rat) is the source of this 481-nucleotide long non-coding RNA. The record is from Ensembl. NCBI's taxonomy places the organism in Eukaryota, Metazoa, Chordata, Mammalia, Rodentia, Bathyergidae.